This 279-nucleotide ribosomal RNA is filed under the name uncultured bacterium. RNAcentral describes it as "partial 16S ribosomal RNA". It matches the Rfam family "Bacterial small subunit ribosomal RNA", at positions 506 to 784 of the family's 1533-position model. The record is from RNAcentral.
UGCCAGCCGCCGCGGUAAUACGAAGGGUGCUAUCGUUGUUCGGAAUUACUGGGCGUAAAGAGCAUGUAGGCGGAUGAAUUAGUCAGAGGUGAAAGCCCCGAGCUCAACUUGGGAACUGCCUUUGAUACUGUUUAUCUAGAGUCCGAGAGAGGUUAGUGGAAUUCCCAGUGUAGAGGUGAAAUUCGUAGAUAUUGGGAAGAACACCAGGGGCGAAGGCGGCUAAAUGGCUCGGUAAGGAAGCGGAGAUGAGAACGCGUGGGGCGCAAACAGGAGUAGAUC